AUUAAUUUUGGCAUUUUCAUAUUUAUGCACUAGGUGAUGGGACUUUUUAAAGAUUUGAAUUCUUUAGGACAUUAACUAAAAAGUGCACUAAGGGACAGUGAUUUCAGUACAGAAAAGUUAGUACUUGGGAAAUUAAGAGAUAAGACAAGUGCAACUAAAUCAUUGGUUGUUUUUUGAAAGCAGUUUUAUGUAUAAAUAACAAAUGUUUAUAUUUAACUAAAUGUAAGGUACGAACUAUGACAUAUUAAACUUUUCUUGCCCUUCCUAGUUCUGAGGUAGAUGUGCACAUAUCUGCCACCACAUUCCAUAUGUGUUGAGUAGUUAACUCAUCUAGUUAAUAACGUUUGUGUCCAUGUGAGAGAUUCGGUGAGUUCAUCCUCAGCUCUCUUGGGCUGCAGUUUAUAUUGAGUCAUAUCUGUACAUUCUGGAGAUCUAAAAUCUUUAAAAUACUCUAAUAGCCUUGAGUGACCAACCUUUUUUUUUAAAGCACAGAUGUAAUUGUCUAAUGUUCUGAUGGAAAUGUAACACUUAUUUUUAUAUAAAGAGAUUGAGUAAACAGAAGAAAUUGAGGGUUCCUUUAGUUGUUUUGUUUCUGUGGUAUUCAGCCAGCAAGUUGUUUUCUUUCAGAGUUUCCUCCUUCAGAGAACUUAACUGCAUUUAUAAACGUUUUACAAGGCAGAAGCAUUAACUGGAUAGUUAGUGUGAAACAGUUUCCGCUUGAGAUCUCCAUUUCUCACUCUGCUGAGCCAGAACUCGCACAGCUGUUUCACUGAUUUUCUGUGCUUAUUACUCACAUAACAAUGGUAAUUAAUACCUUUCAGUUGCAUUUUAUUAUAUUUCAGGAGCAAAGUUACUUUGCAGUAACACAUAUGCAGAAUUCUCCCAGGAAAGUAUUCAAUCCACCAUUGUGAAUGGAAAUCUUAUACACCACAUUCCUGUCGCAGAGCAUUUGUAUUAUGGGAUGUUUGAUUUACAAAGUAGUGUGAUAUGCUCCAGCAAACAGGUUAAAAAUACUUUGAGGUCAAAUUGUCUUGGUUUUGUUUUUUUAAAGUGUUACUAUUAAAACUCUUGUGAGGGAUUGUUGCAAAAUACUCCCUCAGGAAAGAAAGCAGUGUGCCUUUUUUGCCUUUUUUUUUUAAUGGAUUAAAGUUUCUGAAGUGAUAAAAAUGAAAAUCACACUACCAUUUGAAGUCCAUUCUCCAGGUUUUCAGUGUCAUUUCUGUGCAGUCAGUUUUAUGUGUCACACUUCGGCUUGUGUUGGCUUUCUUCUUUUGCCCCAGAUUAAACUGAACAAUGUAUAUAUAUAUAACACUAUCUGUCUGUAAAAUACUUUUUUUAAGAAAGCAUUUAUAUUUAUAUGACAGCUUGAACUGACAACAUUAUGUAUAUAGAUCAUCUUGAAGUAUUAUUUCACAU
This 1416-nucleotide long non-coding RNA is filed under the name Mus musculus (house mouse). Its description in RNAcentral is "long non-coding RNA chr2:117178233-117179649". The record is from RNAcentral. Lineage: Eukaryota; Metazoa; Chordata; Mammalia; Rodentia; Muridae.